GAGUCUGGCCCUCAGAGACAUCAGUUCCUAUUUGUUGGAUGGAAGGAAAGAAUUACACAAGUCCAGGAGAAAAAAAGAGGUAAAGGCAGAAAACUGCACCCAGCCGAUCCGAGCUGCUUAAGAAUACACAAAACAGUGGAAAAAAUCUCAGGAAUCAUCUUUCCAACAACUGAAGAGGAAGCACAUCUAUCUACAAAGAUCUUAAAUCCAAACUGCCAAAUCCAGCCCAAGUAGCACCUUUUUCUGCCAAGUGUGAGUGGCUGGUUUGGUGGUUUCAAAUAUCUACAGUUUCGAGAGUUUUCGGCUGUCAGGUGCAGAUGAGAAAGCAGCAAAAGAAAUUCCAGCAAUGACACAGAAGCUAACCGAAGAAGCUAUGCUCCGGGUAACAUUAUCGAUGGUGAUGAGACAGGUAUCAUUUCUGCAUGUCUCAGAGGGCCUCCGUCUCAAAGGCAGGAAAGCAUGACCCAGAAUUUAAGGCUACAAAAGAUCUUGUAAGUCUUGUGUUCAGCGCCAAUGCCCAGCAGAGGAUAAUGAGCCAGCCGCCCACAGCAGGUUUUCCAACUUUCUACCCAAUGUCCAAUGGACCAGCCACAGGAGACUUCCCUUUUACAACAGAACCAACCACAGGAGAGUUCCCUUUUACAAGGGAGCCAACCACAGGAGACUUCCAGACCAAUUACCAAGGGAUGUUCUGAGAAUCCUACUGCCACCGUCUUCCUUUGGGUGAACAGCGGAGCAGAGUUGGACUGCAAAGUCAAGUUCCCACUCACCCCAAGAAAAGUCAGUUGGUACCCCCCAUCCCCUUCUGCUGACCCUUUAAUGCAGGCUUGCUUCUCAGCCCCCAUUCUCUGCUGUCUGAGAAACCUGAGAGGCUGUCAAUUGGUAUUUACUCCUUAUGGUCAGAACUAGCUUUAAUAUUAAAAUCAAACAUCCAAGAAAAUGUCUGAGGCAACAUUUUCUGUUUCUGAGCAUGAUUUGACCGAUGAAAUCCUUCCACCUUGUGUGAGCAGCUCCAUAACAGUGGAGGGCAGAUCUGGCCGGGGAGUAGAUGACAGAGAGCGUUGUGAUUUAUUAGAAGGUCUGGGCUGGUGGUUUAGAGGAUCAGAGUUCAGGCCCCUACUCUUCGAUAACCUCAGUGUGGGAUUUGGGAUGAGUUAUUUGACCAAUUUUGAGGUUUUGCUCUCCCCAUUAGAAGAAAUAGACUGUGCUCCUUGU
Mustela lutreola (European mink) is the source of this 1215-nucleotide long non-coding RNA. RefSeq lists it as uncharacterized. The record is from RefSeq and is a predicted model, not a curated record. The transcript has 4 exons. Lineage: Eukaryota; Metazoa; Chordata; Mammalia; Carnivora; Mustelidae.